GUGGGAAUCUUAGACAAUGGGGGCAACCCUGAUCUAGCCAUGCCGCGUGAGUGAUGAAGGCCUUAGGGUCGUAAAGCUCUUUCGCUGGGGAAGAUAAUGACGGUACCCAGUAAAGAAACCCCGGCUAACUCCGUGCCAGCAGCCGCGGUAAUACGGAGGGGGUUAGCGUUGUUCGGAAUUACUGGGCGUAAAGCGCGCGUAGGCGGAUUGGAAAGUUGGGGGUGAAAUCCCGGGGCUCAACCCUGGAAUGGCCUUCAAAACUCCCAGUCUUGAGGUCGAGAGAGGUGAGUGGAAUUCCGAGUGUAGAGGUGAAAUUCGUAGAUAUUCGGAGGAACACCAGUGGCGAAGGCGGCUCACUGGCUCGAUACUGACGCUGAGGUGCGAAAGCGUGGGGAGCAAACAGGAUUAGAUACCCGAGUAGUCC
Molecule: ribosomal RNA, 424 nt
Filed under: uncultured bacterium
Lineage: Bacteria
Description: bacterial SSU rRNA
Rfam family: Bacterial small subunit ribosomal RNA
Source: RNAcentral